Molecule: ribosomal RNA, 61 nt
Filed under: Oscillospiraceae bacterium
Lineage: Bacteria; Bacillati; Bacillota; Clostridia; Eubacteriales; Oscillospiraceae
Description: partial 23S ribosomal RNA
Source: RNAcentral
CGUGUGUAAGCGUCGUGAGGCGUUCAGCUUGGCAGUACUAAUUGGUCGAGGGCUUGUCCAA